Clarias gariepinus (North African catfish) is the source of this 7353-nucleotide RNA transcript. RefSeq lists it as uncharacterized. NCBI's taxonomy places the organism in Eukaryota, Metazoa, Chordata, Actinopteri, Siluriformes, Clariidae. The record is from RefSeq and is a predicted model, not a curated record. The transcript has 2 exons.
GGCAAAAGGGAGACCCCUGUGAUAUAUGCUCAAUGCUUUUUAUGCAUGAAGAAAUCCAUGGGAAAAUAGGACGCUGCCCCUUUAAGACAAUUACAGGACUGCGUGUGGAGCGCAUGUGUGGCAGAGACGCAGAAAAUGCUGGAAAAAGCAUGAGUUAGACGGAACUUUGCUCCUAUAGUUUUGUUUAUUAAACAGCAAAACUUUAGAGAAGCAUAGGAUAAAGUUUAGAGUCGUGUUUUCCUCGUUCAGCGCUGGUUGGGAUUUUGUGAGCAAGUGCUUUGUGUAUCCAUGGGAGAGCGCGUAAGUCUAUUUAAUAUAUUACGAUAAAAUGCGCAAUGUGACUUAAAUAGCAUGACCAAGACUAAUGUCAAGUGAUAUUGUAUGCAGAGGGGAGAAGGUUCUGGAAGAGUUUGAUGUAAUUCUGCGGUACAAGGAUAAUUGUAAGUUUGUUUUAUUUGUACUUAAUGCCAUAGUUAAUGUAAAUGUUUUAUCUACUGAGUUCAAGUCACAUGUUUCAUGUGUACAUAAUCGGUGUGAUGUGCAAAUUGAUGUGUGAGUGUGUGUAAGCAGUUCCUAAUUGUUGCUUUCUGUAUUAAGGAGGCUGCUACCGUUGUCUUUAGAGGGUUAAAUUCUUUUGGGAAAAUUAAGCUGUAUGCACCCAAUGGGUGUUUGAUUUAUUUUAUUGAUGGUUGCUGUUUGUUUAUUUUGUUUUGUUUAUGUGUUCAUUGCUAAGAGCCAGUGAGGCUAAUAUAUUUAAUGCUGUAUUUUCUUUACAAAGAUACAGUCAAGAAUAAAAGAUCCCCACAUAAAAAUAAUUGCUUGUGUGAUCGCCUCUGUAUCUUAACCAUACCAACGCGGGGUCACACAGUUUUGGUGUCAGAAGUGGGAUUCUUUUGUUAGUCUUAGGGGUUCUAGCUAGGUUGGAGAAAAGUGGGUGGCACAUAGACAACGGUAGCAGUGAAGAUUGGUCCAGCACUAGAUGGUGUGGCGUGCCUGGAGGGCCUGAAGAGAGUCAAGGAGUCUGCGUUCCCACAUAGAAGUUUCACCCCAGAGAUCCAGUGAAACGUGCAGUAAAGACUGUUACCCAUUCGUUGCGACAUUCAAGUGCCAUGGAUGAAAACAUGGACGUUCCACAUGCCCAGGCUGGCACCAGUCGCGAGGAGGACAAUGCAGCAGUUCCAGAUCAUGGUGAUGUUGCUAAUCCCAUGUCACAACUCCAGUCACAGAUUUUAGAGUUAGGCAGAAGACAUGAUGAGGUACUGACAACUAUUGCAAAUAUGAGUAAUGUCACUACAAGAUCAUAUGUGUACAUCCCAAGGGAAAAACAGAUUGUGCCUUUUUGUGGUGAGCCUGGUAAAGAUAACCAAACUGUAGACGAAUUUAUUGAAGAAGCAGAACGUGUAAUUCGAGUGAGGGGGUUAACGUCUGAAGACCAAAUAGAUUUCAUUCUUUCCCAUUUACGGGGAUCAGCUUUAGAUGAAGUUAAACUACGCAUGGAUGGGGAAAUAGUGCAACCGCGGGAGCUAUUUUCAUAUUUGAGGGGCGCGUUUAGGGAGAAGCGGACUAUACCCCAGUUGCUUCAUGCCUUUUAUGCACGUAGACAAUUGGAAGGAGAGGAUUUCCGUGAGUAUUCACAUGCUUUGUCCCAGUUACUAAGUUCUGCUAUUCAGCAGUCCCCAAGUGCAGUGUCAAACACUCAACUCACUCUUAGAGAUCAGUUCGUCGAAGGUGUGAGAGACUCCUCUCUUAGAAGGGAGCUCCGUAGGCUAGUUAGAGAAAGACCUCAUUCUACACUGUUUGACAUUCGCGAAGAGGCUAUGAUGUGGUGUUUAGAGGACCGACCUCGUGGAGCUAAUUUGGCUAGGAGUAGGUAUAUGGGUUCCAACCCAGUUGAGGCAACUAGGGACGCAAACACAUCUGACGCUACCCCUUCUGAUUUAGCAGACACCCUACAGGAGGUCGUUAAGUUAGUAGCUCAACAGAGUAAGGCUAUUGGUGAACUAACUAAUGCUGUUCGUGAGCUAGCUACACAAAAAAGCACUUCAGGUAGUAGCCAGAUUAGUAAAUCUAAGUUUAAACCAAGAUACACUGAAGAAGGGCAACCAAUCUGCCUGAGAUGUGAGGGGGUUGGACAUGUAGCGCGGCAGUGUAUGACACAACGUGGUUCAAGGGACCAGUCAGUGGUAAGGCCAAAUACUGUACCCCAAGGGGACAGGGAUCCCUCCACUGCAUCUAGCCGAGCAAUGCUGGGGAAGCCCGAGAGCUCAACAAGUGGUGUGUUGACUAGGGAGAGGUUUCUAGAACGGGCAGUAGGCAGGUGUCCUGAGGUUGAUAUUUAUAUCGGAAGUGUACCUGUUAGAUGUCUACUAGACACCGGGAGUAACGUAAGCACACUGACAGAGAGUUUCUUUAGGGAGCAUCUCCAUGGGGAAGACAAGGACAUGCACUGUACAGCUAACUGGCUUAAGAUAACAGCAGCCAAUAAGCUCCCUUUGCCUUACUUGGGCUAUGUUGAGCUGGACAUACAAGUCAUGGGACUAGUCAUACCAGAAUGUGGGUUUCUGAUUGUUCGCGAUGAGGGUGUAACUGGACCGGAUUCAUCUUCCCCCAGCAUCCUGGGUAUGAAUAUAAUUUCACGGUGUAGGCAGUUGGUUGUGACAGAGUUUGACAAUGUCCUGGGUGGAGAGUUAGAUUCUGUGUGGAGAGAGGCAUUUCACAGAGUACAGGAGGCGGAACUGACUGAGACAGUGCGCACAGCUCGGGUGAGUGGAAAGCAUAAAACCUAUGUCCCUGCAUCUUCUGUAACCACAGUCAAUGCUAGAGUACACAGAAGACGAGUUGGAAGUGAGAACUGGUUACUGCUAGAGUCAGGAGGAUCCCCUUUGCCUGGUGGACUGUUUCCCAUCCCCACCCUGGUGUCACCACACCAACUGGUGUUUCCCGUGCAGGUAGUCAAUUUCUCACAAGAUGAUGUCUGGUUGUCUCCUAAGGUUAGGCUGGGUGUUCUUGGUCCGUGUCGAUCUGUUGACAAAAGCUCUUGCCAUGUAAGAUUUCAGCGUGUUGCGGCAGAUCAUGAGGAGGUAAUUGUUGAACCAGGAAUGACAGUAGGAACUGAAAGUGAGGUGCGAAUGUUUCUACAGAGGUUUCACAUUGGUGGGACAUCAGAGCAGCAAGUAAAGCUAAGGUCACUUCUGUUAAAGUAUGCUGAGGUGUUUUCAACUAGCGAUGAUGAUCUAGGCUAUACAGAUAAGGUAAAACAUGAAAUUCCCUUAACCGAUGAUAGACCUGUCUCUCAGCCACAUAGACGCAUACCACCAAAUCAAUUUGAGGAGGUCAGAGGGCACAUCUCUGAGCUGCUUCAGAAAGGGGUUAUUAGGGAGAGCUCCAGUCCGUAUGCUUCACCAGUUGUGCUGGUGCGUAAAUCAGAUGGAAGUCUGAGGCUGUGUGUGGACUACCGGAAACUGAACUUAAAGACCAGACGGGAUGCGUUUCCUUUGCCAAGAAUAGAUGAAAGCUUGGAUGCUUUGUCUGGGGCCAAGAUAUUCUCGACAAUAGACCUUGCUAGUGGGUAUCAUCAGGUGGCCGUUAAUGAGAAGGACAGGCAUAAGACAGCAUUCAUUACGCCAUUUGGGCUUUAUGAAUAUCAACGUAUGCCUUUUGGCCUGUGUAAUGCCCCAGCAACAUUCCAACGCCUGAUGCAGGCCACCAUGAGUGAUCUGAUUUUCCAGAUGGUGCUAGUCUACCUAGAUGACCUAUUAGUGUAUUCAUCAUCCUUUUGCGAGCAUUUGGACAGGCUAGAGACGGUGUUCCAGAGGUUGAAGGACAAUGGACUCAAGGUUAAAGUAGAAAAAUGCCGUUUUCUGCAGUCGGAAGUUCGGUUUCUGGGUCAUCAAGUCUCGGCACAGGGGGUGAGUGCAGAUCCUGAGAAAAUAGAUGCAGUGAGACAGUGGCCAGUUCCUGGUACCCUUAAGGAACUCAGAUCGUUUUUGGGAUUCUGCAGCUACUACAGGAGGUUUAUUGAAGGGUUUUCUCAGGUAGCGGGGCCCCUGCAUGAUGUAGUAAACAGUUGUCUUAAGGAGAGCAGUCCCUCCAAAGUGCAGUGGCUGUACAGGCAUUCUUGGAACUCAGAGUGCCAGCUGGCUUUUGAAAGCCUUAAGGAUAAGUUGACUAGUUCUCCAAUAUUGGGUUAUGCCAAUUUUACCUUGCCAUUCCUUCUAGAAACAGAUGCUAGCAGCCUGGGACUAGGUGCAGUUUUGUACCAGUAUCAGGGAGGUAAGAAAACUGUCAUUGCUUAUGCGAGCCGCAGAUUGCGAGGGGCUGAGCGAAACGAUAGGAAUUAUAGCAGUAUGAAGCUCGAGCUUCUAGCACUAAAGUGGGCAGUGACUGAGAAGUUUAGGAGUUACUUGCUAGGGUCCAAGCUUACUGUGUUGACGGACAACAACCCACUUUGUCAUCUCUCUACUGCUAAGUUGGGCGCAAUUGAACAGCGUUGGGUAUCCCAACUGGCUGUGUUUGAUUUUGAAGUGCAGUACCGCCCUGGGCGAUGCAAUACAGCAGCUGAUGCUUUGUCACGGAGGUCAGGUUUGGAGGAGCCUGAGUCUGAAGGAGACGAUGUGGAAUAUGAUGAUUGUGUGGCUAUUUGUAAUUCUCUCAAGACGGGGACAGCUUUAGGGCUAGAUCUGCUGGCAGCAGGUGUAGAGUGCUAUGACAUUAGGCAGCUGAGAGCAUCUGAGGUGAACAAGAAUAACGAGGGUAAGGUUGCAUGUGGAAACACUCCUACUCUGCCGGGGUAUUCAAGAACAGAGCUCUGUCAGCUCCAAGAGACAGAUCCUACAAUUAGUGUGUUUUGGAAAUUCUGGAGCAGAAAGGGAAAACCCACCCGGCAGGAAAGGUUAGGCUUGUCAAAACCGGUACUUGCUCUGCUAAAACAAUGGAAUAAGAUUAGAGAGAAACAGGGUCUUUUGUACCGUGUGGUGGAAGAUGUUCACCUGGGUGAAUGCUGUCAAUUGUUAUUGCCUGCCUGUCUGACCGAGCCAGUUCUGAGAAGUGUUCAUGACCAGAUGGGACAUCAGGGGAUUGAAAGGACAGUAGGACUGUUGAGGCAAAGGUGCUUUUGGGUAAGGAUGUAUGAGGAUGUUGAGAGGUGGAUAAAAAGAUGUCAGAGAUGUGUGCUUUCGAAGAUGCCGCGGCCUCGGAUUCAACCAUGCUGGACGCCAUUCUUAGCUUCCCGUCCACUGGAGGUGGUUGCGGUAGACUUUACAGUAUUAGAACCAGCUUCUGAUGGCCGUGAAAAUGUCCUGGUUGUGACCGAUGUGUUCACUAAGUUUAGUCAGGCGUUCCCCACACGUGAUCAGAAGGCAGAGACUACAGCAAAGAUCCUUCUCCGAGAGUGGUUUUUAAAGUAUGGUGUUCCACAGCGCUUGCAUUCGGACCAGGGGCGGAAUUUUGAAAGCGCUGUGAUCUCUGAGCUCUGUCGGCUCUAUGGGGUAAAGAAAACCCGCACCACACCACAUCACCCACAAGGAAACCCCCAAUGUGAAAGGUUCAACAGAACCCUCCAUGAUCUCCUGCGUGCACUUCCACCAGAAAAAAAACGCAAAUGGCCAGAGCACUUAGUUGAGGUGGUCUAUGCAUAUAACGUGACGCCCCACUCGUCCACAGGUUACUCACCAUAUUAUCUGCUUUUUGGUGUUCAGCCACAUCUUCCUGUUGAUGCUUUGUUAGGGCAAGAGCCAGAGACUGAUGUUGAGCCUAAUUGGUUGGCAGUGCAUAGAGAAAGAUUGCAGGAAGCACAUCGUCGAGCAAAAGAGUAUGCUGAAAAGAAGGCUUCAGAGAGGGUUACUCAGCAUGAAGGGAAGGUGUACUGUCCAGGAGUAGAAGUGGGGCAAAUUGUGUAUUUAAGACACCGUCCCCUAGGGAGGAACAAGAUCCAAGAUGUGUGGUCACCGGUGGAAUACGAGGUAGUAGGGGUCCAGGGUUCUACAUAUACAGUGCAGCCGUUAGGUGGAGGGUUGGUCAAACGAGUGCAUAGGUCCAACCUCCGUCCCUGUGUGAGUCCCACCCCAGUGCCAAGACCGAGGUGUUCAGAAGCUCCUUUAAGUGAUGAUCCUAUCCCAAUGUUAGAGCAAGAGGGACAACUCCAUGAUCCACAGUGUGUGUUGGUGGAAAAGGUUAGAUAUCCAAGUGAGGGGCGGGUGCGGAUGCCAAUGGCUGAGAAGUUUAGUCAGUUUCUUCCUGAACCUGAAAGAGAUUUUGGUUGUGAUGUGGAAAAGCCAAUGCAAAGUGAGGCAGUUUCAGGGACAGAUAGCAGUGAUGCUUCGCUGGUUACCAAGAGGCCAGAGCCUGUAUCAUCCCUCCCAGAGCCAGUAUGUGUUAACCUCCCUGCUGAGGAAGUUGAGUCUAGACCUGUGCCUAUCCCAAGGAAGAGAGUAGGGAAAAGCAGCAGGACAGAUGUCCUUUCUCCAGCUCCACGAAGAACACAGAGGGAGACUGCAGGUGUCCAUAGUAACCCGCAUAAUCUGCCUAAGCCAGCCUGUAAGGCAGUGUCUUUUAGUCCAGAUGUUCUGUCUCAGGUUUUAGCUGGUAUGGUCCUUUAUACUUCUGGGAGACUUCAGGGACUGCUAGACGAGUAGGAUGUAAGUAGUCACCGAGGACGAUGACUAUGGGCAGGGGAGAGUGUAACCAGGUGGGUUGGACAGUAAAGUAAAAGGCAAAAGGGAGACCCCUGUGAUAUAUGCUCAAUGCUUUUUAUGCAUGAAGAAAUCCAUGGGAAAAUAGGACGCUGCCCCUUUAAGACAAUUACAGGACUGCGUGUGGAGCGCAUGUGUGGCAGAGACGCAGAAAAUGCUGGAAAAAGCAUGAGUUAGACGGAACUUUGCUCCUAUAGUUUUGUUUAUUAAACAGCAAAACUUUAGAGAAGCAUAGGAUAAAGUUUAGAGUCGUGUUUUCCUCGUUCAGCGCUGGUUGGGAUUUUGUGAGCAAGUGCUUUGUGUAUCCAUGGGAGAGCGCGUAAGUCUAUUUAAUAUAUUACGAUAAAAUGCGCAAUGUGACUUAAAUAGCAUGACCAAGACUAAUGUCAAGUGAUAUUGUAUGCAGAGGGGAGAAGGUUCUGGAAGAGUUUGAUGUAAUUCUGCGGUACAAGGAUAAUUGAGGCUGCUACCGUUGUCUUUAGAGGGUUAAAUUCUUUUGGGAAAAUUAAGCUGUAUGCACCCAAUGGGUGUUUGAUUUAUUUUAUUGAUGGUUGCUGUUUGUUUAUUUUGUUUUGUUUAUGUGUUCAUUGCUAAGAGCCAGUGAGGCUAAUAUAUUUAAUGCUGUAUUUUCUUUACAAAGAUACAGUCAAGAAUAAAAGAUCCC